Molecule: small RNA, 99 nt
Filed under: Halpernia frigidisoli
Lineage: Bacteria; Pseudomonadati; Bacteroidota; Flavobacteriia; Flavobacteriales; Weeksellaceae
Description: Flavo-1 RNA
Rfam family: Flavo-1 RNA
Source: Rfam by way of RNAcentral
UCAUAGCCCUGAUGGAAGUGGCAUCCUUUUUUUAUCUAAAAUUUUUCUAAUUAUAAAAUUUUUCAAUAAAAAAAGAUACAGCGGACAGCAGGAAUCAGC